This is a non-coding RNA of Hypoxylon sp. CI-4A, 113 nucleotides long. Lineage: Eukaryota; Fungi; Ascomycota; Sordariomycetes; Xylariales; Hypoxylaceae. The record is from the annotation of a GenBank genome assembly.
GGCAACGUGCCAGAGUGGUUAAUGGGUUAGACUCGAAUCGGCAGGAACGUUAAUAGCGGUCUGCCCGUGAUCUAAUAACUUCGGUUGCACAGGUUCGAAUCCUGUCGUUGUCG